CUGGCGGCGUGCCUAACACAUGCAAGUCGAACGAGAAAGUGGAGCAAUCCAUGAGUAAAGUGGCGACCGGGUGAGUAACACGUGACUACCUACCCUCGAGUGGGGAAUAACUCCGGGAAACCGGGGCUAAUACCGCAUAACAUCGAGAGAUCAAAGCAGUAAUGCGCUUGAGGAGGGGGUCGCGGCUGAUUAGCUAGUUGGUAGGGUAAUGGCCUACCAAGGCAAAGAUCGGUAGCCGGCCUGAGAGAGCGCACGGCCACACUGGAACUGAAACACGGUCCAGACUCCUACGGGAGGCAGCAGUGGGGAAUUUUGCGCAAUGGGGGAAACCCUGACGCAGCAACGCCGCGUGGAGGAUGAAGUCCCUUGGGACGUAAACUCCUUUCGACCGGGACGAUUAUGACGGUACCGGUGGAAGAAGCCCCGGCUAACUUCGUGCCAGCAGCCGCGGUAAUACGAGGGGGGCAAGCGUUGUUCGGAAUUAUUGCGCGUAAAGGGCGCG
Molecule: ribosomal RNA, 502 nt
Filed under: uncultured bacterium
Lineage: Bacteria
Description: bacterial SSU rRNA
Rfam family: Bacterial small subunit ribosomal RNA
Source: RNAcentral